RNAcentral lists this ribosomal RNA (253 nucleotides) under uncultured bacterium. Its description in RNAcentral is "partial 16S ribosomal RNA". It matches the Rfam family "Bacterial small subunit ribosomal RNA", at positions 524 to 776 of the family's 1533-position model. The record is from RNAcentral.
UACGUAGGGGGCAAGCGUUGUCCGGAUUUAUUGGGCGUAAAGAGCGUGUAGGCGGCUUUACAGGUCCGUUGUGAAAACUCGAGGCUCAACCUCGAGACGCCGGUGGAAACCGUAAAGCUAGAGUCCGGAAGAGGAGAGUGGAAUUCCUGGUGUAGCGGUGAAAUGCGCAGAUAUCAGGAGGAACACCGAUGGCGAAGGCAGGUCUCUGGGCCAUAACUGACGCUGAGGAGCGAAAGUGUGGGGAGCGAACAGG